UGGUAGAUGCACCCUGAUAACCCACUCCCUGCUAGUUUUUGCUAGUGGGGAAUUUUUUU
This 59-nucleotide small RNA is filed under the name Calothrix sp. 336/3. RNAcentral's name for it is "Nitrogen stress-induced RNA 1". It matches the Rfam family "Nitrogen stress-induced RNA 1". The record is from Rfam by way of RNAcentral. Lineage: Bacteria; Bacillati; Cyanobacteriota; Cyanophyceae; Nostocales; Calotrichaceae.